RNAcentral lists this non-coding RNA (28 nucleotides) under Arabidopsis thaliana (thale cress). The record is from RNAcentral. RNAcentral also lists the same sequence under 1 other name. Lineage: Eukaryota; Viridiplantae; Streptophyta; Magnoliopsida; Brassicales; Brassicaceae.
GUCAAAGUGAAGAAAUUCAACCAAGCGC